Vicia faba (fava bean) is the source of this 273-nucleotide non-coding RNA. Lineage: Eukaryota; Viridiplantae; Streptophyta; Magnoliopsida; Fabales; Fabaceae. The record is from the annotation of a GenBank genome assembly.
AUGAAGGUUAUACAAUACAUAACAAGUUAUUAUCGUAAGGAUAAAAUAUGGCUUAGGCGGACCAGACCCAACAAACGUGAUUACCAAGUUGUGAUUGUUGUUGAUGAUUCACAUAGCAUGUCGGAGACCUGCUGUGGUGACGUUGCAGUUGAAGCUUUGGUUACAGUAUGUCGCGCUGUUUCUCAACUCGAAAUGGGGAACUUGGUCGUUGCAAGUUUCAGAACAAAAGGAAACAUAAAUCUGCUACAUGAUUUUGAUAUGCCAUUCACCUGA